Molecule: long non-coding RNA, 1182 nt
Filed under: Triticum aestivum (bread wheat)
Lineage: Eukaryota; Viridiplantae; Streptophyta; Magnoliopsida; Poales; Poaceae
Description: long non-coding RNA (TAES_LNC024234)
Source: RNAcentral
GGUGCAGGAGAUGAUGAUGAUGCGCUGCUAAUAUUGGACUUGCCAGGGGUAAGCUCAUUUUCAUACUCAAGAAACAUGCUUGUGGCCCUAACAAGUAACACUACCUGACAUUUUCUUACUCUUAUGCACAUGGACAGUAUGUAUAAUGCCACCUGAAGCAUUUUGGUACUGCAUGUCAGUAUGUGUAAUGAUUUAUUUUUAGUAUUCUCUUUUCAGCAAAGGGUCAUUUUUGUGGCAGCCCAGAGAUAGGAAAACUGUGUCUAGUCAAGACCUGCUUAGCAACAAAGAGUAAGUGGCAUCUCCAGAGAAUUGAAGUUAAUAGAUACUAAAGUCCCCAUGCUACCUGCUUGUUUUAGUGAAAGGACCAAACCAAAUAUCCUUCAUUUUUAGUACUAGUACAUGCCACUCUUAAUUUUUAUAUAACCAUUAAUCUCAAUUGGUGAAGAUUAUUACUCCAUCUGUUCACUUUUGUAAGUCAUUUUAGGCAGCUGAAAUUAAACUGUUUUAAGUGCUGUCCUAAAUGUCUAGGACGUCUUAUAGAAGUGAACGGAGGGAGUAGUAUCAAUCUAUACAAUAGCUUUUUUUCAUCAGUGCUCCCUAGCUGCAUGUCCCAGUUCAGUACACGUGCAUGCCCGCAUGUUUGCUAGCUGCAUGUAUUGUUAUUGGAACAAAUGAUCGGCAUGAAAAAGCUUGAUAUAAGCUACAAAGUAAAUUCCUGAAACUUUGUUCUAAUAUUCAGGACAGGUCUUGAGAGCAGCUGCCAUUGACUUGGAAAAGUUCAGGACUAAAAUUUGAUGUUCAGGAGAAUCAAAUUCAUCGUAAAUAAGGGGCUGCCAUUGACUUGUCCUUCAUCGCAAAGUUCAGGAGAAUCUGAAUGUAUGUUCAGAACUAUGAAAUCUGGUGUUCAAGCACAUGUUCAGGAUGUGAAAUCUGAAACCUGAAUCUGAUGUUUAAGCUAGCAGUGAUGCAUGCUCACUGAAAUUAUGUUAGUUUUAAAACUGCUCGUUGCUGCAUUUGAUAAACUGAAUCUAGCGCUGUAUCAAAUGGACCGAAGAUUUGCUUGUUGCUGCAAGUCUGAAUGUAGUUUUAACAUUGUUCAGGACUGAAAUCUGAAUGUGAAACUGAUACAAAGAUAGCAUUGAUGUAUGUUCAAGCUAGUUUGCACAUGGACACUGAAAUCGU